This 397-nucleotide ribosomal RNA is filed under the name uncultured bacterium. RNAcentral's name for it is "bacterial SSU rRNA". It matches the Rfam family "Bacterial small subunit ribosomal RNA", at positions 28 to 429 of the family's 1533-position model. The record is from RNAcentral.
GACGAACGCUGGCGGCGUGCUUAACACAUGCAAGUCGAGCGGUAAGGCUCCUUCGGGAGUACACGAGCGGCGAACGGGUGAGUAACACGUGAGCAAUCUGCCCUUCACAUCGGAAUAACUUCGGGAAACCGAAGCUAAUACCGAAUACGACCAUCGGAGGCAUCUCCUGAUGGUGGAAAGCUCCGGCGGUGGAGGAUGAGCUCGCGGCCUAUCAGCUUGUUGGUGGGGAACGGCCCACCAAGGCGACGACGGGUAGCCGGCCUGAGAGGGGUGACCGGCCACACUGGGACUGAGACACGGCCCAGACUCCUACGGGAGGCAGCAGUGGGGAAUAUUGGACAAUGGGCGAAAGCCUGAUCCAGCAACGCCGCGUGAGGGAUGACGGCCUGGUUGUAAC